This 484-nucleotide ribosomal RNA is filed under the name uncultured bacterium. RNAcentral's name for it is "partial 16S ribosomal RNA". It matches the Rfam family "Bacterial small subunit ribosomal RNA", at positions 36 to 507 of the family's 1533-position model. The record is from RNAcentral.
CUUUCCCUCUUUCUUCAUGCUUUACACAUGCAAGUCGAACGGCAGCGCGGGCUUCGGCCUGGCGGCGAGUGGCGAACGGGUGAGUAAUACAUCGGAACGUGCCCAGUAGUGGGGGAUAGCUCGGCGAAAGCCGGAUUAAUACCGCAUACGACCUGAGGGUGAAAGCGGGGGAUCUUCGGACCUCGCGCUAUUGGAGCGGCCGAUGGCAGAUUAGCUAGUUGGUGGGGUAAAGGCCUACCAAGGCGACGAUCUGUAGCUGGUCUGAGAGGACGACCAGCCACACUGGGACUGAGGCACGGCCCAGACUCCUACGGGAGGCAGCAGUGGGGAAUUUUGGACAAUGGGCGAAAGCCUGAUCCAGCAAUGCCGCGUGUGUGAUGAAGGCCUUCGGGUUGUAAAGCACUUUUGGCGGGAACGAAAAGGACUGUGCAAAUACCACGGUUCGAUGACGGUACCCGCAGAAUAAGCACCGGCUAACUACGUG